Molecule: ribosomal RNA, 253 nt
Filed under: uncultured bacterium
Lineage: Bacteria
Description: partial 16S ribosomal RNA
Rfam family: Bacterial small subunit ribosomal RNA
Source: RNAcentral
UACAGAGGGUGCAAGCGUUAUUCGGAAUUACUGGGCGUAAAGCGUGCGUAGACGGUUAUGUAAGUCAGGUGUGAAAGCCCCGGGCUCAACCUGGGAAUUGCAUUUGAGACUGCAUAGCUAGGGUGCGGAAGAGGGAAGCGGAAUUUCCGGUGUAGCGGUGAAAUGCGUAGAUAUCGGAAGGAACACCAGUGGCGAAAGCGGCUUCCUGGUCCAGCACCGACGUUCAGGCACGAAAGCGUGGGGAGCAAACAGG